RNAcentral lists this ribosomal RNA (468 nucleotides) under uncultured bacterium. Its description in RNAcentral is "partial 16S ribosomal RNA". It matches the Rfam family "Bacterial small subunit ribosomal RNA", at positions 28 to 507 of the family's 1533-position model. The record is from RNAcentral.
GACGAACGCUGGCGGCGUGCUUAACACAUGCAAGUCGAACGGAAAGGCCCUGCUCUUGCGGCGCGCUCGUGUGGCGAACGGGUGUGUAACACGCGUGUAACACGCCCUUAACUUUGGGAUAACUUCUGGAAACAGGGGCUAUUACCGGAUAGGACCUCCUGCUGCACGGUGGGGGUUGGAAAGUUUCGGCCGUUUGGGCUCGACUCGCGGCUUAUGAGCUUGUUGGGCGGGUAGUUGCUUACCAAGGCUUUGACGGAUAGCCGGCAUGAGAGGGUGGCCGGGCACAAGGGGCCUACGAGAGGGCGCAGACGGGUACGGGAGGCAGUAGUGGGGAAUAUUGCACAAUGAGGGGAAGCCUGAUACAGCGACGCCGCGUGCGUGAUGACCGCCUACGGGUGGAAAACCGCUUUCGACUGUGACGAAGAGUGAGUGACGGUAAUGGGUAAAGAAGCACCGGCUAACUACGUG